RNAcentral lists this non-coding RNA (31 nucleotides) under Homo sapiens (human). The record is from RNAcentral. Lineage: Eukaryota; Metazoa; Chordata; Mammalia; Primates; Hominidae.
UGCCUUAAAGCACAGCAAGUACUGUGUGUGU